GUGCUCAUUUUGGCAGCACAUAUACUAAAACUGGAACGAUACAGAGGAGAUUAGCAUGGCCCCUGCGCAAGGAUGAAACACCAACUCUACCCAACAUAAUUUA
Molecule: small nuclear RNA, 103 nt
Organism: Choloepus hoffmanni (Hoffmann's two-fingered sloth)
Lineage: Eukaryota; Metazoa; Chordata; Mammalia; Pilosa; Megalonychidae
Source: Ensembl